Molecule: long non-coding RNA, 6098 nt
Organism: Loxodonta africana (African savanna elephant)
Lineage: Eukaryota; Metazoa; Chordata; Mammalia; Proboscidea; Elephantidae
Exons: 2
Source: RefSeq, a predicted model, not a curated record
GUAAUUCAAGGAGGGGGGAGGGUGGGCAAUAGAUUUGGAUGCUUUGCCCAAAAAGACAUUUCAGUUUAAAAUGAUGGAACACCAAGUGCUGGUGAGAAUGUGGGGCAAUGGGAACUCUCAGAGACCACUGCUGGGAUGUAAAGUGUUGCCAGCACUUUGGAAAACAGUUUGUGGUUUCUUAAAAAGUCAACAUACAUCUGCUAUGUGUUCCAGUCAUUCUACUCCUAGGUAUUUACCCAAGAAAAAAGAAAGCCUAUGUCCUACAAAGACCUGCACAUGGAUGUUCAAAGCAGCUUUAUUUGUGGUAGCCAAAGAUGGCAAACAGUUCAAAUAUUCAUCAACAGGCGAAAGAAUAGAGGAAAUGCGGCAUAUCCAUACAGUGCAAUAAGUCUCAGAAAAAGAGGAAUAAACUAUUGACACACACAACAAUGUGGAUGAAUCUCAAGAUAAUUUCACUAAUGAAAGAAGCCAAACAAAAGAGUGCGUACCACCUGAUGCCGUGUACAUAAAACUCUACUAAAUGCAGAUUAAUCUACAAUGACAGAAAACAGACCAGUGGUUGCUCUGGGGAUGGACAGGGGUUGGGAUGCACAGAUUACAAAGGGUGACAAGGAACCUUGGAGGUUUGGUGAAUGUGUUCGUUGUCCUGCUGGUGGUGAUGGUUUCAUGGAUGUAUCCAAAUGACAAGCCUUAUUACACUCUAUGCUUUAAAUAUGUGCAGCUUCUGUGUAUCAGUUAUAUCUCAACUAAGUGUUCAUCUUUUGGUCUUGAUUCAUCAUGGACAGAGCGCCUUUGUCUAAGGCUGAUGUUCUGUGAAAUUGUUUUUGUUCAACAGGAGAACACCAAGGCCUAGCUGUAAACUGCUGUGAUAUCAGAAAUAGAGACACUAUGCUCUGAAAAGCUGAGAAAUAAGGUUCAAAAUUAGGCUUCAAAAUGAGAUUAGGCUUUGAGCAAUAGUGAGUUCUGGGCUCAGGCCAGACCCGGGACUGGUCCUCAUCACCCCCCUCUGUCCCUUCCAGGUCCACUCUUUAACUACCUGCCUAUACCUUGGGUGAGGUGAUGAGAUCUAGAUGGGAGUGAACGGUGAUAGGAGGCAGGAGAUGAAAGGGACAAAGCGUAAGGCUUUCUUCUCAAAUAGUCAUUCUGAAACUUUAUCCCAGAGUUAAGUAUUUGCACCUUUAAUGUAUCAAAAUUUCCUUGUUUUCAUUAUUCUGUAUUAAAAGUGAGAACCAAACCUGUUGCCAUCAAGUAGAUUCUGACUGUUACCAACUCUAUAAGACUGCCUCUUAAGAUUUCCAAGUAGCGGCCGGAGGAUUCGAACUACUGACUUUAUGGUUAGUAGCAGAGCUCUUAACCACUGUGCCCCCAGGGUUCCAACAGUGCUGCAGGGUAAAUCCUGGAACCGGUCCUGCCAAGGCCCUGCCCUCUUCCCUUUCAGGCACGCGAGCCUCACAGAACCUCCUCGCAGCACGCAGUUCCAACCCGUCGCAUUCCACUAGAUGGCGCUCUGGUUCCCCCAGAGCAGCGUCACUUUCAGGUUCCGCCAAUCGGCGUUACCUGGGCUCUGCUCAGCAGAAGGCUAUGCUGCAGUGCCGUGGCGCAGUGGUUAAGAGCUCGACUACUAUCCAACGUAUCGGCUGUUCGCGGCUGCUGCUCCGCUCUAUCCGUCUGUUUUUCCAUCCAUUUAAACUCAGCCGGGAUAUAACCUGAAACUGGGAGUUUGGCUUCUGCUGGUCUUGCAUUUCCCUCCCCAGUGCCAGCUGGGAGGUCUCAGUAACUCGCUCUGGGCCACGACUUUCAGUUUUGUUUCUUCUUUCCUUUUUACUGAGGGAGAGUUUUGGAGAAAUAUUUGCGGAAGUAUAUAGAUGAAGACCUGUUGAGUCUGGUUCAUUUAUUUCACUCUCAGUCACACUGCUCUGCAGGGCGAAUGUCUGUGACAUCAAAUCCCCGCUGAGUGGAGACACACCUGGCGCGAAACCGGUGUGCUGAAAGGCCCUGUAGUUGGCGCGCUCUAGAGGCGCUAUCGAUUUAGAUUGCAACCUCCAGAGAUGUCAGGUUGUGAACCUCCGGAGAUGUCAGGUUGGGAAUUCCAGUCUCACCUGGAGUAGUCUUUUCAUAGUAUCACGAAGGAUGCCUUCCCGCAAAAAAAAAAAAAAAAACUCAAACCCAUUGGCGUGAAAUCGAUUCUAACUCAUAGCGACCCUAUAGGACAGAGUAGAACUGCCCCCAUAAGGUUUCCAAGGCUAUAUAAUCCUUUAGGAAACAGACUGCUACCUUGGUUAGCAGCCGAGCGCUUAACCAGUGCUCCACCAGGGCUCCUUCAUGCCUUGCCUAGAUAAUCCAAAUAAUGACCAUUGCAAAUUUCAGUCGAAAGUUCUCGCAGAGUCUUUCCUCGGUUUAUUGUGGCAGGUGGGGCUGGGCGCGGGGUGUCCUGAGCUGGAGUUUCCUUGGUCCCAGGAGGUCCAGGGGGUAGAUAAGGAGUUCUUGGUUUAGGGCUUCCUCAUUCCACUAGCUCCCAACAGCUGUCUGGGUCACCUUUACAAAAUUAUAUUUCUACUGGAGUAGUUCUAGGUUAAGGAGCUCUGGCGGUGCAGUGGCUAAAGUGCAACCGAGUGGUGGGUGGCCGAGUCCACCAGCAGCCCCCCUGGAGAAAUAUGUGGCAGUCUGCUUCCUUAAAGGUUACAGACUUGGAAACCCUAUGCGGCAGUUCUGCUGUGUCCCAUAGGAUCGCCAUGAGUGAGGAUCGACUCGAUGGCACUGGGGUAGCUCUAGGUGUAGGUGAAGGACUAGUGAGGAAUGGCUAGGUUGAAGAGAUUUUGGGAGUAAAUGCAGAAUAAAAAAGAUUUAUGUAUUGAUGGUGCAAUCUAAAAGUAAAUUUUAAAACGAUAGGAAGAAUAUGUAACGAUUUUAAUGAAUUUUAAAUUACAAAUGAAAGCCGAAGAAUUAACGACCUGUGGAGGGAGAAGGAGGGAGAAAGUUCAGAGGAAGGAAAGGGAGAGACAGUCUAUGUGUACUCCCCCCUUUGUUCUCUUUGUGAACUUAGUGCAGGAUUAAGACACGCAAGUAAUAAAAAUGUGUUUGUGACUUUCUGCUUCCACAUCAAGUUUUAAGUACCUUGAGAUAAUAAGGUUAUUCCCCGCCCCCCACUCCAUCUUUUUAUAUCACCCACCAGCACCAAAAGCUAGCACAGUGGGAUGACUAAACUCCGCUGAAAUGUCCUUAUACAAGCAUCCAGGGCAAAGCAAUGUUGGGGACAAAGAAAAGGGAGAGAUCAGUCAUUCCUGGAGGGUUCAGAAAAACUUAAAAGAAAAUAGACUUAAAGAAUGAGCAGGAAUUCACAAGUUAAGGAAGGCCACACAUUUGUCUUGUUUUACCAAACAAGGCUGAAGGCUCAGGACGUAAAAGCUCAAGUUACAUGAAAGCGACGGACAAAAGAUAACAUAAAAUCCAGUCGUUGAAGUCCCUGAGUUGGCCCAGUUAAAACAACCAAGCUGACUUAGUUUGGGCUCCCCAAAAAGAGGACGUUGAGGCCGAAAUUUGCGUGCCAGUAAUUUAUUUGGGACGUCAUCCUAAAAAGCAUCGUGAAGGUGAAACAGGCUGCUCAGCCAUAUUGAAAACCCCAAUCAACACCCCUUCCCCCCUCUUUGUCUUGCUAACCACAAGCUUGUUUUGAGCAGGAAGUUGCAGCAGGUAGUGGCUCUGGCCACUGACUAGCCCUGGUUACACCUUGAAGCAGGCACAGAUUGAAAUCACAUCCUUCAACUGACCUCCCCCCCCAAUAUACGCACGGGAGGGCUAAAGGCAGAAAAUUCCGGGUACCAAACCCAAUCCCCUGAAGCCAUUGGAAACAAAAAGGUCCCCAGCCCCCUUAGUCAGCGAGCACGUGGCCUUAAGGUCACUAGACCCCAUGAGCUCCUUCUAUGCGCAGACAGUAAACUUGCUACUUUCUGUUUCCGUUGCAAUCAGUUCCAUCUAAUUUCAAUCGGCUAAUAAGACAGGACAAGAACCCGAGUGGCCUUAGGUUACAAAUUCUGGCGAUUCUGCCCGGAUGGCUGACUGCAAAAUCCUGGCGGUGAGUAUCCGGACCCCUGAUACCCCUUCAGGCGCGCCCAGAUCUCGUUUGAUCGGUAAGGAGUCUUGGGCGGCUGCCGCGAUCCCGCUCAGGACAAAGUCCGCCGUGUCCCCACCUCAGCUCCGGAACAGAAACCGAACCGGAGAGGCCUCUAACUUCAGAUAAGCUUAUGUGUCUUGGUGUAUGCCUUAAUGAGUUGAUGCCUUCUCCCCUGAAGAGUAGAGUCAUUUCAAGUGAUUCAAAAGUUCCGGCUCCAAGUGAUGGUUGCCCAGAAAUUUCAACCCAUCCCCCUAUCAAGAAGGGAGACAAGAGCCUAAUAAAGGGCCACUAUAGGUUUUUUUUUUUUAUAGGUACAAAGAGAGAUAAAACAGUUUAACUCAGACAACACAAAAGCUCCAUUUUUCUAGCCCUUAGACCUCUACGCCCCCAUCCAACAAGAAGCAGCUAGAGAGACACGGCGCCCUGUUUCCCAAAAUUGAGAAACCUACAACAAAAAGGGGGGAUUGAAACAGGCUGCUCAGCCAUAUUGAAAACCCCAAUCAACACCCCUUCCCCCCGUCUUCAUCUUGCUAACCACAAGCUUGUUUUGAGCACUAAGUUGCAGCAGGUAGUGGCUCCCGCCACUGAUUAGCCCUAGUUACACCUUGAAGCAUGCACAGUUUGAAAUCACAUCCUUCAGCUGGCCCCCCCACCCCCAAAUAUAGGCACGGGAGGGCUAAAGGCAGAAAAUUCCAGGUACCAAGCCCAAUCCCCUGAUGCCAUUGGAAACAAAAAUCUCCCCAGCCACCUUAGUCAGCCAGCACCUGGCCUUCAGGUCACUAGACCCCAUGCGCUCCUUGUAUGCGCAGACAAUAAACUUGCCACUUUCUGUUUCCGUUGCAGUCAGUGUCCAUCUUAUUUCAAUUGGGUAAUAAGACAGGACAAGAACCUGAGUGGCGUUCGGUUACAAAGGGAAGUGAGAAACUUAACAGGGAAGGGAGGAAAGUCACUCUAGGGUGCCCUAGUGGGCCGGCUACCACCGUGGGGACCUGGGGCUCAGUCCCACAGGGCCCUCUGAGAGACUGUGUGGAACACACCACAGAAUAGCCCCAUUGAGGGGUAACGAAGUGGGGAUAUUUAUUUGUUAACUUCCACCUUUAUUUGUUGAGGACCCACCAUGGCUCUUUAACUCCCUGGCAGCCUGGCCUGCCCUGGAUGCUGCCUGCACAGGCAUCAAGAAUUAGAAACCUUCAGGAGAACUGCCUGCAGGUGACUCCGGGGAAUGCCGAGAGCAUACAGGACUGACUGGUGGUGGCACAUGAACCACAGGAGACAUAACUGCUCUUCCCCAGUGAGAAUCCUGCUCCAAAGGCUCGGGUGAGCUGCUAGCUCUCUGACUUUUCAGCCUUGCCCCUCCCUGGAAACUGAAAAGCUGAUGUGAAGAACAAAUCGGUGCAUUUGUCUUUAUGUCUGAAACAAAGUGAAUUUAGGGAUCCCCCAAAAUGAGACUGUAAGGUAAAGUUUCCCUGUAACUGUUUAUUUGUCUCUAGAACUUAGAGAACUUUCCACUUCUUCCCAUGGUUUCCCUGUCCCCAAAUGGAGUUAGCCACCACGCCUCCCCCCUCCCCCGCCCCACACAUACAAGCUUUCCCUAAAGGUGGGGGUCGGCAGUGCAAAGAAGGGACGCAAGGUCCUUUGGGUCUCUUUCCGCAACAGAGUCAAGUGAUGCCAGUGUGUGCUUCCAGUACAAACCAAAAAGCCAAACCUGUUGCCAUCAAGUGAAUUCCGACUCAUAGUGACCCUAUAGGACAGACUAGAACUGCCCCAUAGGGUUUCCAGGGAGCACCUGGUGGAUUCAAACUGCCAACCUUUGGGUUAGCAGCCUUAUCUCUUAACCACUAUGCCACCAGCGUUUCUCUUUCAGUACAGGAUGUAGUAAAAAAUAAAGAGAAAUGAGCCUUUAGCUAAUAUGGGUAAGUGCCAGGGAGAGGGCACCUAACUCCACUGUAUGGACGUUGGAGGGCUGGGCACCCACCUGGAGGAAGUA